This 193-nucleotide unclassified non-coding RNA is filed under the name uncultured Candida. Its description in RNAcentral is "sequence contains ITS2". The record is from RNAcentral. Lineage: Eukaryota; Fungi; Ascomycota; Saccharomycetes; Saccharomycetales.
CUCUCUCAAACCUUUGGGUUUGGUAUUGAGUGAUACUCUUAGUCGAACUAGGCGUUUGCUUGAAAUUUAUUGGCAUGAGUGAUACUGAGAAGUGCAUUCAGGAAAUAUCAAUGUAUUAGGUUUAUCCAACUCGUUGACAAUUCUUGGUUGUGAAUUUUUAGUGUUAGGCUUUGCCUUAAAAAACAACAAACAA